Molecule: ribosomal RNA, 253 nt
Filed under: uncultured bacterium
Lineage: Bacteria
Description: partial 16S ribosomal RNA
Rfam family: Bacterial small subunit ribosomal RNA
Source: RNAcentral
UACGUAGGUGGCAAGCGUUGUCCGGAAUUAUUGGGCGUAAAGCGCGCGCAGGCGGUCCUUUAAGUCUGAUGUGAAAGCCCACGGCUCAACCGUGGAGGGUCAUUGGAAACUGGGGGACUUGAGUACAGAAGAGAAGAGUGGAAUUCCACGUGUAGCGGUGAAAUGCGUAGAGAUGUGGAGGAACACCAGUGGCGAAGGCGACUCUUUGGUCUGUAACUGACACUGAGGCACGAAAGCGUGGGGAGCAAACAGG